UAAUUAUCCUUUUCACGUGUAAUAUCUUUGACUAUUAUAUUUUAAGGUAAUUGGAAAUGAUAAAAAUGUAAAUGGCAUGAUAUUUAAGUCCUGAUUACAAUAUAAAUAUUCUGACCAAACUGAUAAAAAAAAAUGGUAUAAAAUGUGUGUGCGAGCUAUUGAUUUUAUUCAGUUUCCGCCAUCAUGAAACAUCUUCUUAGAUUACUUUUUCUCACGUGCGUUUGUGCUGUUGUGACAUCCUUGAAUUGUCUAUCUUGCACAAGUAAAGAAGUAUGCAAAAAUGCUCCCACUACCGCCUGCACUUCAGAGAAACAUUACUGUAUGUCAUUACAAAUAGCAGGUACCUAUUUCAGAGGAUGCUACGAUAAUACUGAUGAUUGUGACAUAUUCAAAGACGAGGAAGGAGCCAAAUGCGUAAUGUGUGACACAGAUAAUUGUAAUGAUGUAAAAUUUGAAUGAAGUAUUUAUUCUGUUCAUAAAUAAAAAAAUUGCAUGAUUA
Harmonia axyridis is the source of this 499-nucleotide long non-coding RNA. RefSeq lists it as uncharacterized. Lineage: Eukaryota; Metazoa; Arthropoda; Insecta; Coleoptera; Coccinellidae. The transcript has 2 exons. The record is from RefSeq and is a predicted model, not a curated record.